GUGAGCUUCAGUCUAGGUUGUUCUGCUUUUCAUAACUUGGUUAGCAGUUUGUUUUGAUUUUGUAUGUGUUUAGAAAGGGAAGUGGAAAAUGCAAUUCACCAUCCGGAAUUCGUUGCAAAAUUACAUUUUCAUCUAGGCCUAAUGAAGAACAAAAGGAUGCAUAAAGUUCCAAUAAAUGUUAUGGCAGUUUUAAUAUAAAUGUACUGAUAUUAUGCAAAAAGGCUAUGUACUCUCUAUUUAAAAUUAGAAAGAUAUUAUCAGUCUCACAGCCUGGAGGUGGUAAGGACGUGAACAUCGUACAUAGUGCUUAUUCAGAAACCAAGGAGCAUAGUGUUUUGGCUCUAGUUUGUGAUAAUGGUUAUCUCCUUUUCCGGUACAUAAGUUCAAAUUUCAGCAAACCUGUGGUACGCCAACUCUGCUGGUUUAAUAAUUCUGAAAAGCAAAUUAAAUCUCUAACAUUUGAUUCAGCAGGCUUGUGGCUGCUGCUAGUUACACAUGAUGCAACCAUAUAUAUUUUACCACUACUCCCACUUCUU
RNAcentral lists this long non-coding RNA (536 nucleotides) under Stegodyphus dumicola. Its description in RNAcentral is "uncharacterized LOC118206065, transcript variant X4". The record is from RNAcentral. Lineage: Eukaryota; Metazoa; Arthropoda; Arachnida; Araneae; Eresidae.